GACGAACGCUGGCGGCGUGCCUAAUACAUGCAAGUUGAGCGCUGAAGGUUGGUACUUGUACCAACUGGAUGAGCAGCGAACGGGUGAGUAACGCGUGGGGAAUCUGCCUUUGAGCGGGGGACAACAUUUGGAAACGAAUGCUAAUACCGCAUAAAAACUUUAAACACAAGUUUUAAGUUUGAAAGAUGCAAUUGCAUCACUCAAAGAUGAUCCCGCGUUGUAUUAGCUAGUUGGUGAGGUAAAGGCUCACCAAGGCGAUGAUACAUAGCCGACCUGAGAGGGUGAUCGGCCACAUUGGGACUGAGACAAGGCCCAAACUCCUACGGGAGGCAGCCGUAGGGAAUCUUCGGCCAUGGACGAAAGUCUGAACGGGCAACGCCGCGUGAGUGAAGAAGGUUUUCGGAUCGUAAAACUCUGUUGGUAGAGAAGAACGUUGGUGAGAGUGGAAAGCUCAUCAAGUGACGGUAACUACCCAGAAAGGGACGGCUAACUACGUG
RNAcentral lists this ribosomal RNA (497 nucleotides) under uncultured bacterium. RNAcentral describes it as "partial 16S ribosomal RNA". It matches the Rfam family "Bacterial small subunit ribosomal RNA", at positions 28 to 507 of the family's 1533-position model. The record is from RNAcentral.